CCGGGCCCCAGCCGCCGCGCGCCCUAGCGCCUCCGCGCCAGCCUUGCGCGCCCUCGCCCGCUUCCCGCAGCCCCCGGCCCGCGCCCCUCGGGGUCCCGCGGCGGAACCGCGCGGGAUGUGACCCUUUCCCCGUGCCCCCCGGGGCCCCGCCUUAGCCUGCUUUUGGGAGGGGGGGCGGGUGGGGAGGGGCGCGCGGAUCAUGGCAUUGGAGUUCCCGGGCUUGCAGCCGCCGCCGCCACCUCUUCCACGCAGCCCGAGCGCCCCUUCUUCCCCGAGCAGCAGCGGAGAAGGCGAAGCGGCCGGCGGGGGCGAGGCAGAUGGGGCUCAAGGCGCGCAGGCCGGCGGGGGCGGCUGGCGGCGGCGGCGACGGGGGCGGCGGAGGCGGCGGGGCAGCUAACCCGGCCGGAGGGGACGCGGCGGCGGCCGGCGACGAGGAGCGGAAAGUGGGGCUAGCGCCGGGCGACGUGGAGCAAGUCACCUUGGCGCUGGGAGCCGGAGCUGACAAAGACGGGACCCUGCUGCUGGAGGGCGGCGGCCGCGACGAGGGGCAGCGGAGGACCCCGCAGGGCAUCGGGCUCCUGGCCAAGACGCCCCUGAGCCGCCCAGUCAAGAGGAACAACGCCAAGUACAGACGCAUCCAAACUUUGAUCUACGACGCCCUCGAGAGACCGCGGGGCUGGGCGCUGCUCUACCACGCGCUCGUCAAGGGGAAGCCUUUGGAACAGAGCUGGAGAUGAAACUGUUGCACAGAGAAUUGAAAUCACGCACGCCUGGCCAGCCACCCGGGACAGCUCUGCCUGGUGUCUCGUUCUCGGAGGGUGAGCGGUGCCUCCAGCAUUGCUUCUCCUGGCCAGGGGCCUGUUUGGGAGUGAAGUUUCCAGAGGAAGUGCCUUUAUUUCCAGGAGGGGCUGUCCCCUGAGGACCCCCUCCCCUGGCGGUGCCUUUCCGGAGUCGCCUCCACCAUCCUUGUUGCUACGUCCUAUCCCUGCCAUGUGAUGGAGUCUUUCCAAACCUCAAUCCAUAUGUUUGCUGCAUAAGCAAGUGGUGGUUGAAGAAAUGAUUGAACCCGGUUGCAGCCUUGAUCUUGCCUUGAAACAACCAGGGUUGUUUUUGAACUUAGUCUCCACCCUCAAUGACCUUGGAAGACCUCUGUCACAGCCCACCUGUUGUCCCCUGGCCCUUCAGUGAGUUGGUGCUUAGUCAGACCUCUCUGAUGGGAAGUUAAUCUCCAGUCAACCACAUCCUAAAGUUCAUCUUCCAGAUAGUAGGAAAAGGAGCCUUAAUAGGUCUCUUAAUAGUUUCCUGAAGCUAAAUGUAAGUAGGGCUCUUUCAGAAGCAACCUGUAUAUUUUGGGCAGAAUGGGGACGCUAGACAGGGCUUCCCUGGUGGCUCGGAGGUACAGAACCUGCCUUCCAACGCAGGAGACGUGGAUUUGAUUCCUGGGUCAGGAAGAUCCCCUGAAGGAGAAAAUGGCAGCCCAUUCCAGUAUUCUGGCCUGGGAAAUCCCAUGUAUAGAGGAGCCUGGCGUGCUAUAAUGUGUGGAAUCACCAAAGAGUCAGACACGCCUGAGGACGCACACACGGAGGCUGGGUGAUAGAAGGAAGGUUGAGUCGGGACAGCAGGACUUGGGGAAUCUCAGGGCUGUGUUUUGUGGGAAUGGUGGUUUCAGGCGCCUGGACAAGCUUACCCUGCGCUUUGUGAGCUGAUGGCUGUGGGUGGGUCCUCUGUUCAGAAGUAGCGAAUGUCUUGUCUGUGGCCACCUCUGAGCUUUUUGCCCAGUGGCAGUCCCAUGGCAGACUUUUGAAGAAUAGGAAUUGACCAAGGACAUGUGCCAUCUUACAGAGUGUGGAAGAGCCCUUUCCACGCUCCCUGCUCACUCUGCGCAGUCUCCCCUGACCCCACCCUGCCCUUGAUGUGGCAGGAGAAUACAGGCUGGGCCCUCAUGGAGAUGCUCAGCCAAACCCUUGUCUGCCUGUGACUGAGUCACGUAGGAGCCGUCUCAUUUCCUCAUCUGGAAAAUCAGGACAGUGGGCUUAUGGUGAAAACUAAGAUAAAUAAUUGUCACGUACAAAGUACUUGGCCUUUAUAUAAACUGGUGAAUAUGAAGUCUCUUCCUUGCCUCAUCCACCAAGAGUGUCCCAUACGGUGACUACAUAAGAGUUUCAGUUCUCAGGAGGGUUGAAACAGAGAAGCAGAACCAGUAGGAGAGAUCUAUUGAGAGGUUUAUUGCAGGGAGUUUAUUAGGUGAGUGUGGGGGCUGGCAGGGCAACUCUGGAAUCCCAGAGGAGUUGUCAGGAUGGGCAGGCUGGAACUCGCUGCACUGGUGGGAUUUCCUCUUUAUUAGGGACGUCUUGCCUCUGCUUGUAAGGCAUUCUAGCUGGUAGGAUCAGACCCCCAG
This 2398-nucleotide long non-coding RNA is filed under the name Capra hircus (goat). RNAcentral describes it as "lncRNA (ENSCHIG00000001511.1)". Lineage: Eukaryota; Metazoa; Chordata; Mammalia; Artiodactyla; Bovidae. The record is from RNAcentral.